Molecule: RNA transcript, 3629 nt
Organism: Epinephelus fuscoguttatus (brown-marbled grouper)
Lineage: Eukaryota; Metazoa; Chordata; Actinopteri; Perciformes; Serranidae
Gene: adam28
Gene name: ADAM metallopeptidase domain 28
Exons: 24
Source: RefSeq, a predicted model, not a curated record
GAGGAGCAGAGGAAGUAGCAUCCACGCCACUGCAGAAUUUAAAGCCUUUAUUUGACAAAUGCGGUGAAACGUUGUGAUGAGGUGAUGGCAACGUGACAAGUGAUGUAUGUGGAAAUUACCAUAAGGCUAAAGUAUUGUGAGACAGUCAGCCACAACACAGGAUGAGUCAAACUGCUGAUUUAUGGCUUUUAUGCCCAAAAAGAAGAAGUGGUUAAAAUCUGAUCCAGCAAAAAGAGACUGUCUGCACUUGGACAAUGACGCCAACACUCCUAUUGUGGGUCCUCAUCCUAAAUGCCUCGCUCAAGCCCUCAGAAAGCCAUGGGCGAGACUUUGAAGAGGUGAAGGACUAUGAGGUGGUCCGACCUGUCAGACUACACACAGUUAGAAAAAGAGACACAGAGCAUCUCAGGCCUGAGACUAUGAAGUAUGCAAUGACUGUGGGAGGAAGAGACAUUGAAAUGCACUUAGAAAAAAAUAAUGAAUUACUCACCAAAGACUACACUGAAACUUACUACCAAGAAGACGGGACUCGAGUCACCAAAACUCCGAAUGACAUAGAUCACUGCUACUAUCAUGGGAAGAUUCUGAAUGACAAUGAAUCAUCUGUUAGCAUCAGCACCUGUGAUGGACUCAGAGGUUACUUCAGGACGUCUGCCCAGAGGUACCUGAUUGAGCCCCUAUCUGAUGGGGAUGAGGGGGAUCAUGCGGUGAUGACUUUUGACAACAAGACUUACACGCCUGCAGUUUGUGGUGUCACCAACACCAGCUGGAGUAGCGACUUCGAACCCCCAACAAGCCGGAGCCGCUCCAGAUCAGCGGGUAUAUCUAUUGUCCAGCAACAGAAAUACAUUGAGCUCUACCUCGUUGCUGAUGAUCGUGCGUACACGAAGAUGAAGAGAGAUGAGGCAAAGCUCAGAAAGAGGAUAUUUGAAAUUGUCAACUUUGUCAACAUGGCAUACAAGCCCUUGAGGACCUUCAUUGCUCUGGUAGGACUGGAAGUCUGGACCAAUGGGGACUUGAUCAGUGUGACCCCCCCAGCUGGGGCCAACCUAAAUGCUUUUAUGACGUGGAGGAACAGUGAUCUGAUAAAAAGGAAAAAGCAUGACAACGCACAUCUCAUCAGUGGUAUUGACUUUGAAGGAGCUACUGUGGGACUGGCCUUCAUUGGGACUCUUUGCUCAGGUCAUUCUGUUGGAGUAGUACAGGAUCAUAAUGACCGGGCCAUUGCAGUGGGUGCGACACUGGCCCAUGAGAUGGGCCAUAACCUGGGCAUGGACCAUGAUGACUCUAGUGCCUGUGCUUGUGUUGGUGAUAGCUGCAUCAUGGCUGCAGCACUGAGCUGGAAUGUUCCUCGAACUUUUAGUAGCUGCAGCAGCAACAACUACGAGAAAUACCUGACUGAGCGCAGCCCCAGCUGCAUGCUGGACAAACCAGACUACAGAGCUGUGGUGGCUCCUUCAGUCUGUGGGAACGGCUUUGUGGAGAGAGGGGAGCAGUGUGACUGUGGCAGUGUGGAGGAGUGCUUCAAUCCAUGCUGCAAUGCCACCACCUGCACCCUGAAGGAGGGUUCACAGUGUGCCGAGGGCGAGUGCUGUGACAACUGUAAGAUCUCACCUACUACCACGGAGUGCCGCAGAAAGCAGGAUGAAUGUGAUCUGGCAGAGUACUGCAAUGGGAAGAGCGCCACCUGUCCUGAGGAUGUCUUUGCGGUGAAUGGCCUCCCAUGCGAUGGAGACCUGGGAUACUGCUACAACGGCCAGUGUCCACAGAGGCCGAACCAGUGUUUGAAACUGUAUGGACCAAGUGCUACAGAGGGCCGUCCUAAAUGCUAUAACCAUAACACCAGAGGAACCUACUACGCCUUCUGCAGACGUAUAGAAAACCAGUACAUCCCCUGCCAGCAACAAGACGUGUUUUGUGGGAAGCUCUUCUGCCAUGGCGGUAAUGCCAACCCAGUCUACGGCCGCAUGGUCAGGGUCGGUGACUGCAAGGCAGCUUUCUUUCAGGACCACACCAAAGACUACGGCCAGGUGGACACUGGGACCAAAUGUGGGGAUGGAAAGGUGUGCAGCCAGAGUCAGUGUGUGGAGCUUGAGACAGCGUACAGAAAUGUAAACUGUUCGGCAAAAUGCAGAGGCCAUGCUGUGUGCAACCACAGAAGUGAGUGUCAGUGUGAGCCUGGUUGGAUGCCUCCUUACUGCGAGUCCAAGGAUACAAGUUCAAAUCCCAUUUCUACAGGACCAGCUAUUGCCAUCGCAGUGGUAGUCGUUCUAGUGGUUUUAGGUAUCAUUGCUGCUGUGUUAGGAUUCUGGUGGAAAAAACGCCAAAGUCCCAUAUUGCCAACUGCACAAACGCGGAGGAAGCCAACAGCAGUGAACAGCUCCGCUCACCACCUAAACAGUGCACCAGUUCCUAGUCAACCCAUGCCAGUGCAGGGUGGAAGGCGAAAGCCCAAAGCAGCUCCACCUCCACCUCCGCCAGCAGGGAACAGACCUAAACCUCCGAGCCAGAACUACACAGCUGCACGCCGGGCUCUGAGGCCAGUACCUCCACCAAAGGUCUGAUGUCUGACACUGUGCCACCCCUUUGUAAAUCUGGUCCAUAGUCCCCAACGAGCAGCUGCUGGUGAUCCAGAGAAGCAGUUUCCUCUGCAGUUUUUUUCCACUGCAACGCUGUCUGAAGCACGAUCGAGUGUUUGUUCCAGUGACGUGCAGCGUGCAGGAUGAACAUACUGGAUUUAAAAUUGUUACUUGCAUGCCAUGCACUGAGGACUUGAUAUUACAGGGAUGAACUUGUUUUUAGUUCUGUACUAUGCUACAUGUCCAUAUUUUUUGUUAAAUCUCAAGCAAUACCUUCAUUAAUUAUCAAUUCAAAUAUGAGACAGUAAUAGAUGAAAUGAUUUUUUGUAAGAAGACACAUUAGGUCUGUGAGAGUGUAGACAAUGUCAGAACCCAGUGUUAAGACAAAAAUACACCAUGUUAAACAAGAUCAAGUUAAUUUCCAAAUAAAAAAAAUAUAAUUUUUAUGUUCUACAAUCAGCACACUGCUUGAGAUUUAAGCAAAACGUUUGACAUUGUAGGUUGUAAUUUAUUGUUAUUUCUCAUCUGGUUUAUGUAAAUACAUUUUUUAAAUGCACAUUUAUCAUAGUGCUGCUAACCAAAACCUUGUAACUUGUGAAACAUGAGGGUUCAAAGCAGCGAGGAUUUAUAGUAAGUAAUGAUAAUGAUGACUGUAUAUGUUGAAAUGUAGCCAAUAUCUGAAAAACACAAGACAUCAUGUUACUGCCCUAAAUUGUGUUAAAGAAAGCCCAUACCCAGGUGGUAGUAAUCUUGAUUUUAAAAGGCCUGUGACUGAAUAUUACUCCUCUCUGCUUUAACCGUUUGCCCUCGAGGGAGGCAGUGACCCCAGAUUAUGCUACUGAAAGAGGGUAGGGUUGUAACAGGCAGCUCUGAGCAAGAAUGUCUAUGAUGUGUCACAAAAAAGUGUUGCAAACAGAACUACUUAAUGAAAUUUAAUAAUGGGAAACUGUUAUUGUUUUGUAUAAAUGCAUUGUGUACAAAAAGCAAACUCUUAUAGCUGCACUUGGAUUUUUUUUUAACACAUUUGUCCUAUCUUAAAGCUGCAUAAAG